This 73-nucleotide transfer RNA is filed under the name Felis catus (domestic cat). It matches the Rfam family "tRNA". Rfam says of the family: Transfer RNA (tRNA) molecules are approximately 80 nucleotides in length. Lineage: Eukaryota; Metazoa; Chordata; Mammalia; Carnivora; Felidae. The record is from Rfam by way of RNAcentral.
AUCUGGUUGGCUCAGUUGGUAGGGCAUGUGACUCUUGAUCUUGGGGUUGUGAGUUCAAGCCCCCCAUUGGAUG